GACAGAGGCCCCGAGCGUUAGUCGGAAUUACUGGGCUUAAAGGGUGCGUAGGCGGGCGUGUAAGUGCCUUGUGAAAUCCCUGGGCUCAACCCAGGAACCGCAGGGCAUACUGCACGUCUUGAGGGAGCUAGAGGCCGGUGGAACGAUCGGUGGAGCGGUGGAAUGCGUAGAGAUCGAUCGGAACGCCAAGGGUGAAGACAACCGGCUGGGGCUCUCCUGACGCUGAGGCACGAAAGCGUGGGGAUCAAACAGG
Molecule: ribosomal RNA, 253 nt
Filed under: uncultured bacterium
Lineage: Bacteria
Description: partial 16S ribosomal RNA
Rfam family: Bacterial small subunit ribosomal RNA
Source: RNAcentral